Molecule: RNA transcript, 2718 nt
Organism: Triticum aestivum (bread wheat)
Lineage: Eukaryota; Viridiplantae; Streptophyta; Magnoliopsida; Poales; Poaceae
Gene name: serine/threonine-protein kinase D6PKL2
Exons: 3
Source: RefSeq, a predicted model, not a curated record
CCCGCACUUGCCACAUCCAGCCCGGAGCAGACCCGCCUCAGCUCGCCUCACCUCACCAUUCACCGCAGCAGCAAUGCCUCCGGACGGCGACGCGGAGCUGGCGGCGGACGAGCUGCAGAGCCUCAGCUUCGGCUCCUCCGAGCGCUCCCGCUCCGCCUCCACCGUCUCCACCGCCACGGCCUCCUGCUCCACCUCCUCCUCCUCGGGGCUAAUCGGCGUCCCCGCGCCGCGCUCCUCCGCCCUUGCCCCGCGCCUCGGCACGGUGCAGCUCUCCGACAUCCGCUUCGUGCGGAGGCUCGGGGCGGGGGACAUCGGCAGCGUCUACCUGGCCGAGGUGAAGGGCAAGGGCGGGGCGCUGGUGGCGGCCAAGGUGAUGGACCGGAAGGAGCUCCAUGGCCGGAACAAGGAGGGCCGUGCGCGCACGGAGCGCGAGAUCCUCGAGGCCGUCGACCACCCGUUCCUCCCGCGCCUCUACGGGGUCGCCGAGGGCGAGCGCUGGUCCUGCCUCCUCACCGAGUUCUGCCCCGGCGGCGAUCUCCACGUGCUCCGCCAGAGACAGCCGCACCGCCGAUUCUCCGAGGCCGCCGUCAGGUUCUACGUGGCGGAGGUGGUGGCCGCGCUGGAGUACAUCCACAUGCUGGACAUCGUGUACCGGGACCUCAAGCCGGAGAACGUGCUGGUCCGCGCCGACGGCCACAUCAUGCUCACCGACUUUGACCUCUCCCUCAAGUGCGACCCGACGGCCCCGACUCCGGCGCACGUUAUCUCCGACCCCAUCGGCCUCACCGGCCGCUCCUCCGCGUCAUCCACCUUCAUCAUACCUUCCUGCAUCGUACCGUCGGUCUCGUGCUUCAGCCUCUUCCCCGGCCGCGGCCGCCGGCGCCGGCGCCGCAAGAAGGCCUCGAGUGGCAGUGGCGGCGGAGGCGUGAACAGCAGCAGCCUCCCCACCGGCGUGCUCGACCUGGAGUUCGUUGCGGAGCCGGUGGAGCUCCGGUCCAUGUCGUUCGUGGGCACGCACGAGUACCUGGCCCCGGAGAUCGUGUCCGGCGAGGGCCACGGCAGCUCAGUGGACUGGUGGACGCUGGGCAUCUUCAUCUUCGAGCUCCUCUACGGGGUGACGCCCUUCAAGGGGUACGACAACGAGAUGACCCUGGCCAACAUCGUGGCCCGCGCGCUCGAGUUCCCCAAGGACCCCUCCGUGUCGUCUGCCGCCAGGGACCUGGUCACCGCGCUGCUCGCCAAGGACCCGGCGCGCAGGCUUGGCGCCACGGUCGGCGCGGCGGCCAUCAAGCGGCACCCCUUCUUCAACGGCGUGAACUGGGCGCUGCUCCGGUGCGCCAUGCCGCCGUACGUGCCCCAGCCUUUCAGCGCCGCGGUCGUGACGGCCGCUGGCUCCGGCCCGGGGAAGAAGAACAACCCCGACGACGACGACAUGUCGGACGACAGCUGCCCCGGCACGCCCGUGGAGUACUACUAGAUCGGAUCAGACACAAGGAAGCUCCCACGCACGCACGUACGUGCAACCAACAAGAUGCUGCCACUGGCGGGGCCCAAGCUGGAAGCUCGUACCACCCUUGCCCGACCCUGGCGCACGUGGUCGGGAGCGGUGGACCGCCCUGGAUGGCGCGCACGAGGCGACCUUUGGUUGGAAGCUGGGCGCGCGCGCGGCCAGGCGCGGCGCUGUCGCGUCAAAUAGUUGCCGGCUGCGGCUUCGUGCGUGCAUAGGCCAAAUUUCGUGUUUUGACCCUUUUUGAAAAGAAAAUCGGGAUAUGACCCCAGUUCAGAAAAAAUUCGGGAUCUGACCCUUUUGCCUACCGCCAGCAGGCCAGGCCUGGCGGUAGGAUUGCAUGCCCUACCGCCAUAGCCUACGGCGGUAGGCCAUUCGACGGCGACUGACGGCCGUUGGCAGCCGCUGACGUGGAAAAGGGCCUACCGCCAUCCCCUACGGCAGUAGGUUACUGGAGCCUACCGCCAUAACCUCUGGCGGUAGGGUCCUGUGUUCUGGAUAAGGUGGGGAGGGGCUGGAUAUCCCCCCCCCCCUCAACCACUCAUUCAGCCCACAUCACCUCUCCACCGAGCUCAACACUCCCCCUUCUUUUUUUGAAGCACAAGAGCCUCCCAAAUCUCUCUCAUUUGUUUGAGAUUUCUCCGGUGGAUUCUUACCAUUUUCAUCACUGAAGGAUGGCACCGUUCGUUUUCUUUGAAACUUCUGCUGAGGCGGCGGCGAACCGUGAACGCGAAUUGAUUGAGGAAAAGAUGAACUUGUGGAUCGAAGCCAUUGAUGCGUUGAAUGCGGAGUGUAGGGCAUUUUCAUAUAAUUAUUUCAAUAAAGACCGUUCCGAAAAUUUUAUAACAAAAAAGGAGAGGCUGAUGAAGAAGCUCAAGACGGCGGAAGAAAAUUGUAGGCGUGAUCUUGCAAUGCAAAUUACAUUGUGUGUGACAACGGCAGAAUAUGCUGAGAUAGACAUGGGCAAUCAUGGUCAGGUCAUUGAUUGGUUAGUUCGCCAACCAUUCUCGUCGGAUGAGAACCGUGCAUCUCGUUGGGCAUGGGUCAAAGAAAGAAAUGAUGUUAUUUGUUGCAACCCGGGACCGUACGCCGCAUAGUAUUGCAUGAGGCUAUGUAAUCUUUGUCAUUUGAACUAUAAUGACAUGUACCCUAUGCUUGGUCGUCGUUUGAACUACUAUGACUUGUACCCUUAACAUUUGAACUCAUUAAGA